Long non-coding RNA from Oryzias melastigma (Indian medaka), 350 nucleotides. RefSeq lists it as uncharacterized. NCBI's taxonomy places the organism in Eukaryota, Metazoa, Chordata, Actinopteri, Beloniformes, Adrianichthyidae. The record is from RefSeq and is a predicted model, not a curated record. The transcript has 2 exons.
UGGAAGGCUUUAAGGCCCAAGUGAUGUUACUCAUAUCAAAGCCCCUUGGCAAGACGCAGACAACCCAAGAUGUCAGCUUGAAGCAAAAACCCAAUCUGUCUCAACACAGUUGGCUGGCGCGGGACCUGAAGGAAUCUCAACACGUAGCAUCUCCCCGCUUGCUUUGCAUUGAGCCGUGCAGGCUCACACAGUUGGAAACAGGAAGGUCUGAUCAGGGCAGCAUUUCACAGCUGGUUAGGUGGUCUGCAUGUAUACGGUUGAACUUUUCAGACCAGGUCACUGAUAUUUUCACUGGAGUUGCACAGCUUUUUUUCUUCACAGGUAGAAUAAAAAGUGUCUCUCAAGUCAAA